AAAGGCCCCAGUGUUUGCCCAGGCUGCCGCCGCCGGCCACAGAUAUAUAUACCCGGCCCAGAACUUGCGGGAGGGGUGUGGAGGGGAGGGGAGUCUGGGGGAGGCAGGCGGCCUGGGGACCCCAUCCCCGCGGGAGAUGGGGGGAGGAGGCCGGAGCCAGAGGCCCAGGGGGCCAAGGACAGUGGGGGGAGUGCCCCCCCCGUCUGAGCCCCCAGAUCCUUCCCAGAGAGCCAGCUCAGGGAGCAAGGGACAGGGAGCCAGGAGGUCCGGUAGCUUCCAAGGAACCCAUGGAGGGCAGGCUUGGGAGAAAGGGCUGGGGCAGGGACCAGGACAGAUGGGGGGGGGGGCACUGCCAGAGACACACCUCUUUGUACCUAAAAUGUAGACUCUCUGGCCAGAGACGUGCCCCUGCCCCUGCCCCUGCCCCUGCCAGUUGAGGUGAGACCUUAGCCCAGUCUGUUGCUUUCUCUGGGACUCAGUUUCCCCACUCCCACUUGGUCUGGCUGGGUUCUAGGGUCCCUUCUGCUCUCCAACGGGAUCUCCCAGGCUCGAGGAGCCAGGGCCCGGGGCCUUGUGCCCCCUUGGCUGCCAGCCUGGCCGGACACCUGAAGUGUCCCGGGCCUGUGUGGCCAUGCAUCCGUGUGUCCCGGUGUCCCCCUGAGUCCCUGGCCAGCGUACUUUUCCGCUCUGGGCGUGGGCCUCGGGCGGGUGGGGGAUGGCACGCCGGGCCAGCCCGGGCCAGCCGCCUCCCCUGGGCGCGGAGACCCCGCUCCCGCUCCUGUGGCCGCGGCCCCCGCGGAGGGGCUGGGGGGGCUUGGAGACCCCAGUGACGCCCCCGGGCGGGGGGAGGGGGGUCUCCGGGCCAGGGCUGGGUUGGGCCCCCACUUCCAGCCCCGGCUCCUUCCUCCCCCUCCCCCUCCCCCCCCAGAGGACGGGGAUGAAAAAGAGUCUUUUCAGCUGGAGGCGGCAGUGGCGGCUCCCUCGCUGCUCGCGUGGAAUAAUAUUUGGGCUGUUGGCCGGGGUGGGGGCCAGAUCCGGGGGCCUCUGGGGAGCGGCUAAACCGCAGCCUCCGGCCUCAGCCCCGGCCCCGCCUGGCCCCCGGCCUGCUCGCUCCGGGAGAGACCCCGAGGUCCGCGGAGGGGGGAGGGAGCCCAGGGAGAGACUGAGCCCCUGUCUGCUGCUGCUGCUGCUCCCAGUUGUUUUUUCCAGGAAGCCGGAGGAAUUCCCCGGGCGGGCUCCGGAGGACGCAGGGACAGACUGGGAGCCAGGUGGAAAGAGCCCUAACUGUGGUGGGGGAGCCAGCCUCGGGCUGAGACAGAGCCGGGAGCUCUGGAGCCGGGAAGCCCGCAGUGAGGGCCGGUAUCCCGGGGCGAGAUGGGGGGGAGGGGAGGAAAAGAGGAUCGAGCCCGGCGCUAUCCCAUGGCCUCCCUCUCCCCCCCAACGCCCCCUCCCCCCAGUGGGCAGAGGCUGGGGACCCUCCACGUGUGCGUGGGGGGCUGGGGGAGGGUCCUGCGGGGAGAGACCGCCUCCCCCUCGCUCUCGGCGGACCGGCGGGGGCGGCUCUGGUGAACAAACUGUUCUGGGGUCAGGGCCACCGCAGGAGAGCAAAGGUCAGGCCCGGGCCUGCCUUCCCCGCCCCCUCCCCAGCUCCGGCGCUCGGAGCCCGCCCAGAGGGCUCUGGGCUCUGGGGAGAGCUCUCCCAGAGCUCCCACCGCUGUGUAAGGGAGUUCUCGGGGAGCCUCGGCUUGGGAGUCCCGGCUGGGAGGGACCUUACCCUCCCAUAUUACAGAUGAGGGAAACCGAGGCUCGGAGGGAGAGGAAGGGGCUUCCCCAGGGGAGCCGGUGGCAACCCUAAAAUGCAACCUGGGUCCUCGGGCUCCAAAGGCUGCAUCAGAGUCCCUGGGCCUGAGCUUAAAUUUCUGCAAAAUCGCUUACAGUGUGACCCUGGGACAUCCCUGCCCCCCUGGCCUGGGCUCUGGCCCUCCGGGGCCCCUUCCACCCCCCCCCCUUACAGAGGAAGCAGUCCCCAUUUUGUCCCGUCUGCUCCCCGCAAACAUUCGGGGCUCGGGGAGAUUGGAGGGGGAUGAGCUCCGCUGACAAAAGGCACCCGUGAGUCUGCCCGCUCCCCUGUGGCCACCGCCGGGGAGAGGGGCCCGAACGCCGGGCUCCUCCCCGUCCUGACGCAGGAGAAAAGAGGCAGCUGGGAUGCAGGCUGAGAGGGGGGAGAAAAGCUUUAAUGUCCAAGUCCAGAAGCCACUGAAGAAGGGCGUCCCCUUCCUGGCCACGGGCCCCUCACUGCGCUCCCCUCCCACCCAAGGGCUCAAAGGGAGCAGCUGCAACCGACCCUCCCCUCGGUCUCCACUGACCCUCCAGCCAAUCCCGACUUCGACUAGUGUAACAGGGAAAAUGGCAGCCAAGGUGAUGACCAAUGGGGACCAAGGCCCCGGCUAAGACAGCGGCAGGAAGAAGGGAGGACGAGGCCACCGUGCCACCCCCGGGGAUGCCCACCCAGAGGGCGCCGCCGAGCCGCGAGGCCCACAGGGCCCCAAAGGGCCGCCGAU
Molecule: long non-coding RNA, 2561 nt
Organism: Sarcophilus harrisii (Tasmanian devil)
Lineage: Eukaryota; Metazoa; Chordata; Mammalia; Dasyuromorphia; Dasyuridae
Source: Ensembl